This 165-nucleotide ribosomal RNA is filed under the name uncultured bacterium. RNAcentral's name for it is "partial 16S rRNA". It matches the Rfam family "Bacterial small subunit ribosomal RNA", at positions 355 to 511 of the family's 1533-position model. The record is from RNAcentral.
UAGGGAAUCUUCGGCAAUGGGGGCAACCCUGACCGAGCAACGCCGCGUGAGUGAAGAAGGUUUUCGGAUCGUAAAACUCUGUUGUAAGAGAAGAACGUGUGUGAGAGUGGAAAGUUCACACAGUGACGGUAACUUACCAGAAAGGGACGGCUAACUACGUGCCAG